CCCUUAGAUGUCCUGGGCCGCACGCGCGUUACACUGAUGCACUCAACGAGCAUAUAACCUUGGCCGAGAGGCCUGGGUAAUCUUGUUAACAUGCAUCGUGAUAGGGAUAGAUUAUUGCAAUUAUUAAUCUUGAACGAGGAAUUCCUAGUAAUCGCGGUUCAUCAAACCGCAAUGAUUACGUCCCUGCCCUUUGUACACACCGCCCGUCGCACCUACCGAUUGAAUGGUCCGGUGAGGACUCGGGAUUGUGGUUUGGCUCCUUCAUUGGGGCCUGACCGCGAGAACUUGUCCGAACCUUAUCAUUUAGAGGAAGGUGAAGUCGUAACA
RNAcentral lists this ribosomal RNA (327 nucleotides) under uncultured eukaryote. RNAcentral describes it as "partial 18S ribosomal RNA". It matches the Rfam family "Eukaryotic small subunit ribosomal RNA", at positions 1470 to 1796 of the family's 1831-position model. The record is from RNAcentral.